RNAcentral lists this long non-coding RNA (231 nucleotides) under Physcomitrium patens. RNAcentral describes it as "long non-coding RNA (PPAT_LNC008675)". The record is from RNAcentral. Lineage: Eukaryota; Viridiplantae; Streptophyta; Bryopsida; Funariales; Funariaceae.
UAUUCAGUGACUCUCUUGUUAGAUUAACCCAAAAAGUUUCAUUCACUCUGCAUACUCAAUCCUAAAGACACCCUUUUAAUUCUUCAAUCACAGACGUAACUUUGAUUUCACAAAAUAGUCAAGAGUAAUCACACCCACUUCAUUAAAACCCCAAUUCAUCAGUACAACACUCACUUUCAGCAACGAUUGCCUGAGUCUUUCCAAAAUCCUAUGAAAAAAAAAAAAAAAAAA